This 352-nucleotide unclassified non-coding RNA is filed under the name Hevea brasiliensis (rubber tree). Lineage: Eukaryota; Viridiplantae; Streptophyta; Magnoliopsida; Malpighiales; Euphorbiaceae. The record is from RNAcentral.
GGUUAUUAUGGUAAAUGUGUAAUUUUCUAUAAUUGACGUAACUUAGCGGAUAAUGCGAUGCAAUAAUGCAGAUAUUAGGUGGACCGCAAUUAUUUUAAUAUGGUGGUGUCCACUUAGAUAGUGAUAUCCUUUCUAGACUCCGUUGAAGCGUUUAAAAGACACAAUUUGUGCUCGGCCUCACCCCUCUACAUAUAACCCGUGCAUGGCUGCUUAGCUUACACAUAUAACCUAAAACUGAUUAAUUAGCAUUCAUCUAACAGUUUGGGUAGUGGUCAAGUUUAAUUUGAUUCUCUUACUCUGUUCAUGACUUGGCCCAUGUAGUCAUUUUGGUAAAAACAUCAAUUUUUAGAAA